This 318-nucleotide ribosomal RNA is filed under the name Phricothelphusa limula. Its description in RNAcentral is "partial 12S ribosomal RNA". Lineage: Eukaryota; Metazoa; Arthropoda; Malacostraca; Decapoda; Parathelphusidae. The record is from RNAcentral.
UAAAAAUUAUAGAAUUUGGCGGUAAUUUAGUCUUGUUAGAGGAAUCUGUUUUUUAAUUGAUAUGCCACACAUUAUCUUACUUAUUGACUAAAGUUUGUAUACCAUCAUUAGCAGAUAAUUGUUAGAGGAAAUUAUUUUAAUUAAUUGAUAUUAAUAAAAUUAGAUCAAGGUGCAGCUGAUAAAUAAGUUAAAAUGGAUUACAAUAAGUUUUAUUUAUUACGAAAAUAUUUAGGAAGUAGAAUAUAGAAGGAGGAUUUAAUUGUAAUAUAAAUUUAAUAAGUUUAUAUGAUACAAGCUCUAGAUUAUGUACACAUCGCC